Long non-coding RNA from Prosopis cineraria, 449 nucleotides. RefSeq lists it as uncharacterized. The record is from RefSeq and is a predicted model, not a curated record. The transcript has 4 exons. Lineage: Eukaryota; Viridiplantae; Streptophyta; Magnoliopsida; Fabales; Fabaceae.
AUUUCUACUGUUGCUUCUGAGUCUACUUUCAGCACUGGAGGACGUGUGCUAGAUUCAUUUAGGAGCUCUUUAACUCCUAAAGUUGUGCAAUCUCUUGUUUGUGGUCAAGACUGGCUUCGCCACUCACUUCCGGUUCUAGUAGAAGAGAAGAUAGAUGACGCACAAAAGAUUGAGAGAGAUCUUCAAAAAAUUGCUAUAGAAGCGAAUGUGGAUGUACUAUGAGCCUUUGUUCUUAAUGACUUGAGUCAUGGCAGCAACAGCACCUGAGGCUGAGGAAUCACAAUUUGAUGCUCGUCAAUAUGACACCAAAAUUAAUGAAUUGUUGCAAGAUGCUAGUGCUAUGGUACUCCAUUUAUGAAGGUUGCUCAUUUUAUUUUGUUUUACUAAUUUGGAUAUUUGAUUAUUGUAAUGGUUUAAUUUUAAUAUUUUAAAGACUUGUUGGUUUCUAU